RNAcentral lists this ribosomal RNA (387 nucleotides) under uncultured Thermovirga sp. Its description in RNAcentral is "bacterial SSU rRNA". It matches the Rfam family "Bacterial small subunit ribosomal RNA", at positions 995 to 1382 of the family's 1533-position model. Lineage: Bacteria; Thermotogati; Synergistota; Synergistia; Synergistales; Thermovirgaceae. The record is from RNAcentral.
GAAAGGUAGAAGGACUUACUCUUCGGAGUGAGAGCGUACACAGGUGCUGCAUGGCUGUCGUCAGCUCGUGUCGUGAGAUGUUGGGUUAGUCCCGCAACGAGCGCAACCCUGCAUUCAGUUGCCAUCGGUAAGGCCGGGCACUCUGGAUGGACUGCCGGCGACAAGCCGGAGGAAGGUGGGGACGACGUCAAGUCAUCAUGGCCCUUAUGUCCAGGGCGACACACGUGCUACAAUGGCCGGCACAACGGGAAGCGAAGGGGCGACCCUGAGCGGAUCCCACAAAAGCCGGUCUCAGUUCGGAUUGCAGUCUGCAACUCGACUGCAUGAAGUUGGAAUCGCUAGUAAUCGUGGAUCAGCCAAGCCGCGGUGAAUACGUUCCCGGGCCUU